This 1929-nucleotide long non-coding RNA is filed under the name Equus caballus (horse). Its description in RNAcentral is "lncRNA (ENSECAG00000052514.1)". Lineage: Eukaryota; Metazoa; Chordata; Mammalia; Perissodactyla; Equidae. The record is from RNAcentral.
GCCAGAGACAAUUUCCUUAACUAAGAUUAUGAUUUCAAGGGCCCAUAAACACUUAGGGAAAUCUGAAAUGAUGACAAGUGAUCAUUUCCUCAAGAAAACCUCCGUAGCUCAACAAUUCUCAUUAUAAACAUGGAAACAGUAGUGAUGUGAACGCGUGUCGCUGGGUGUGCUGUCUAGGGUUGGGCUCUGCGUUCAUUUACUAAGGCUACCGCAACAACGUCCCCCACACUGGACGGCUGCCAACAGCAGAAAUUUGUUCUCUCGCAGUUCUGAAGGCUACAAGUUAGAAAUCAAGAUGUUGGCAGGGUCAUGCGCUCUCCGAAACCUCUAGAGGAGGGGCCUUCCUUGUCUCUUCCCGCUUCCGGUAACCCCAGGCGUUCCUUGGUGUAAACUCUGUCUCCUGUCUUCGCAUGGCCGUCUCCCCUCACAUUGGAUUAACAGCCACUCUAAUGACCUCAUCUUAACCUGAUUACAUUUGCAAAACUAUUUCCAAAUAAGGCCACAUUCACAGGUGACGGAGGACCACCAAUGUGCUGAUUGCUGACCACCCCCUGAGAGGAACAUUUCAUGAAGUCCAUUUGCAGGGCCAUACUUGUCUCUGUGUCCUCGUUCUCUGACGUGAUGGACAACAAGGCAGAAUUGAAAAAUGGCCAUAUUUUAAGCCAAAGACAUUGGUAAUACAUUGAUGAAUAGGCAUCAAGAGGAUGUGGUGUUGCUGGUGAGAGUGUAAAAUAGCAGAGCUGCUGUGGAAAACAGUAUGGUAGCUUCCCAAAAAUUAAACAUAGAAUUACUGUGUGAUCCAGCAAUGCCACUUCUGGGCAUACACCCAAAAGAAGUGAAAGCAGGACUCAAACAGAUAUGUGCAUGCCCAUGUUCAUAGCAGCGUUAUUCACAACAGCCAAAGGUAGAAACAACCCAAAUGUCCAUUGAUGAAUGAAUAGACAAAAUGUGGAAGACACAUCAAAUUGAAUAUUAUUCAGCCUUAAAAAGGAAGGAAAUUCUGAUACAUGAGACAACAUAGAUGGACGUUGAAGACAUUAUGCAUUAUUUAAAAAAAGGAUAUGCUAGCUCCCCUGUGAUGAAAGAAACUGAAUGUGCCAGUGGCGGUGGCAGCCCCUCUGCUCGUGGCAGGUCCUUUGCUGUAGUGAAGCGUGGCCUCAUCAGACAAUCAGGCGAUCCCAGUCGAUUAGCCCUGAGCUAACUACUACCAAUCCUCCUCUUUUUGCUGAGGAAGACUGGCCCUGAGCUCACAUCCAUGCCCAUCUUCCUCUACUUUAUACCUGGGACGCCUACCACAGCUUGGCUUUUACCAAGCGGUGCCAUGUCCACACCUGGGAUCUGAACCAGUGAACCCUGGGCCACUGAGAAGCUGAAUGUGCGAACUUAACUGCUGCGCCACCGGGCCAGCCCUAAAAUUUUGCAUCUUAUAGACACUAUUUUCUCCUUCAUCAGAGCCCCUUAUAGGGGUGGGAGUGAGGCUGGGAAGGGGGCCUUGACCUCUCCCCCUAAAGGUUAGAGGGUCUGACCCAACACAAAGCAACAUGCAUUUGGACUUAGUUUUCAUUUCAACAAAGAGGUGAUGAUUUUCCAGAGUGACACAUAAUCGUUAGCCUCCUAGUUGGAUUGGAAAAUGGAUCUCUCUUUGCAGCUUCUCUGCUCAAACCACUUCAUCACACUGUUGUCUUCGGGUAAUUUCAAUUAGAGCAUAGACUGUCCAGCAGAGUAUCACGUCCCCAGUAAUGCGGUGGCUGGAAAAAGGACAGGGAGAGGUGAAGGAACCAUGGGAACCGUAUUCUGUUUCCUAGAAUACCCAAUUUGCAUGUCUGUGGGAAGUGAGACUGGCUUUCGACUCAGCGUCCGUCUAAUGUGUCCUGACCUUCUCGGAUACAGAGUUCUGUGAUAGUGGGAGUAAGCUGGGUGUAGAAAAAU